Long non-coding RNA from Sinocyclocheilus rhinocerous, 526 nucleotides. RefSeq lists it as uncharacterized. The record is from RefSeq and is a predicted model, not a curated record. The transcript is spliced from 3 exons. Lineage: Eukaryota; Metazoa; Chordata; Actinopteri; Cypriniformes; Cyprinidae.
UCAACAUGUACUACAGACGCUUGCAGUUAGGACUCCCUAUUAAUGAGCAUGUUUGUUUGGCUAUGAUAAGGAGCAGGGAUGUGUGUAUGUAUCUGUGUGUGCCAAAGGAACAUGAGCUCAUGCCUUCUAAGUGUAUCUCGAUUUACCCUGGAAAAAAAACCUGAUUUGCGAGACGUAAAUGCACCUACAUGAGAGGGGACAAUCUACAUGUGCUUUUAGAGUGAAGGAAGCACAAUAGCGGAUACGAUACAGAAGAAGCCUUGUUUUGGUUACUGAGACCAAAAACACGAGCUGUAGUCACUAUGGCAAAUAGGGAAGAUAUCUGCAACAGUUGUAGUAAACAUUAUUAUCGCUACAACACAAUGAAUGAAUGCUUCGGUUUUCAGAGGUUCUUAUAAAUGUUAUGUAGACAUUAUGAAAUCAUGGAUAAUUUAUUCACUGACUGAAAUGUUUAUUAUUAACAACAGCAACAAUGAUACCAAACUCACCAAAAUAACCGCAUUUGAUUUUUUCAUGCAGCAUUUAG